AGUGAACGCUGGCGGUAGGCCUAACACAUGCAAGUCGAACGGCAGCACAGUAAGAGCUUGCUCUUACGGGUGGCGAGUGGCGGACGGGUGAGGAAUACAUCGGAAUCUACUUUUUCGUGGGGGAUAACGUAGGGAAACUUACGCUAAUACCGCAUACGACCUACGGGUGAAAGCAUGGGAUCUUCGGACCUUGCGCGAUUGAAUGAGCCGAUGUCGGAUUAGCUAGUUGGCGGGGUAAAGGCCCACCAAGGCGACGAUCCGUAGCUGGUCUGAGAGGAUGAUCAGCCACAGUGGAACGGAGACACGGUCCAGACUCCUACGGGAGGCAGCAGUGGGGAAUAUUGGACAAUGGGCGCAAGCCUGAUCCAGCCAUACCGCGUGGGUGAAGAAGGCCUUCGGGUUGUAAAGCCCUUUUGUUGGGAAAGAAAAGCAGCAGGUUAAUACCCCGCUGUUCUGACGGUACCCAAAGAAUAAGCACCGGCUAACUUCGUG
This 492-nucleotide ribosomal RNA is filed under the name uncultured bacterium. Its description in RNAcentral is "partial 16S ribosomal RNA". It matches the Rfam family "Bacterial small subunit ribosomal RNA", at positions 29 to 507 of the family's 1533-position model. The record is from RNAcentral.